CUCAUGAACUGGGCCGGGAAAGCAAAGCAUUACGGGGCUUUUAUUGUAAUAAUAUCUCCCGCCUCUGGAUUCUCUCUAUUCUUUGUUCCACACGCGCAUACACUGGUGUUACAGUCGGUUUCGAAGAGCAGAGAACGAGAAGCAAGGUUCUAUUGCAUAAGUUAUACUAAUUCGGAAUGCCCUGCUCAUGUCUUGAUCUUGUUUCUAAUGGCACCGAAUCUAUCAUCCAUGCAAUCAUUUGGUGUUGUUCUGUGACCAGAAGAACGAGAAGAAGCCUCUUUUCGAUUACAAGUCUCUAUUUAUCUAUCCCCUGAUUAAAGAUUCCAUUUCAGUGUUGUAGUGGAAAAUGGUUGACGACUGUAAUUUUCUCUAAAGCUGAGAGAGGAUAUAGAAAUGCUUUGGGUAGAAACGUGAGGCACUUACUAUAUUUCAAAUAUUCUGGAUUUUCCUUUCGAGUUGCCGGUUUAAUAAUUCCGUCUUCGGGAUAUCAAAAUUGUGUUCUCGAUCUAAGCAUACAUCGAAGGAAAGGUUGUUUGAAGAAGUAGACCAUCAUGGUAGGCAAAUUACAUCAGAUCAGUAAAAGUUGCUUAAUAUGGUAAUGAGUGUGUUGACAGAUGAGUAUUCUUUUGCGUUAGCUCUCUUUAUCGACUUUUUUUUUUUUUUUAAGAAUUUCUUUGCUGCAAGAGACCUUUUCUUCUAGACGAUGUUUAAUGUUAGCAAAUAAAAUUACAGUAAUUAGUAGCUAUAGAAACUUGAUGGUGACAAAAUACUCUGGCCAUGUGUGAAAAAAACUUUUGUAAGUGUCAGCAAGAAAUUGUAGUAGAAGGGAUGAAAAAGGUGACAGGGAGAAUAAAAACUGACAUGGUUUGAUUAUUAUGAUAGCAAGAUUUGUGUUUAUGUUGUGGAGAAUAUGACUCUAAACUUGAUGUAGAUGAAAGAAAUACAAUUUUGGUUGAAGAACUCAACUUGCUGGGGAUUGAGGCGUGCUUGAGUUGAGGUGAAGAAAAUUUUCUUCAGUUUCAUUUUUCAUAUAAAACAGUUUGUUGUUUUUGCAGUAAAAUAGGAAAGACAUGUGCCAUCUUCCUAUUUGUUUGGAUUAAAACUGUUUAUAUCAAUCAAGGGUUCUCAUGAAAGGAUUUCUAUGGAAUUUAGGGUGUGGCUGUUUAAUCUCAGUGCAAAACAGUAUUUCCUUGAUCGUAGAAAGCAGCUAACAGUAUUUAGAAAAAAAAUAGGAAACUUCACUUAAGGCUGUCUUCCUCUUGCUUGGAAGUUUUCUUUUUUCUUUUCUUUCUUUUUUUCUUCUUCUUCUUCCUUUUUUUUAAAAAAAGAAUCAGUGCUAUUGUUUGGCUAUUUUUUACUUACAAAGUUUUGUAGUUAAGCUAUUCAGGCUUGAUGAGAAUUCAUACUUCUAUUACCUUUUCCUUUACUUUUGAAUUUUUUCCCCUCCAUGGCAUGGGCAGGUUGCAGGUAUUUUCUGUUGGGUAAAAUGUGAUCUAGUUAGAAUAUUUUUUUGUCAUUUUCUUAAUGAUAAUAUUGUAGGCCUUUUAAGGCAAGGGUUAUUGCUGGUUUAAUUAUGAUAGAGAUCAAUGCAAAUAGCUGAGAAAUUGAUCAUGAAGAUUUUCAGAGGAAAAGUGCCUGGCAGUUCGUAAUCAAGAGGAAUCAGCUCUCAUGGGUUCUGGUGGCUUUCAUGAUUUAAUCGAGAAUGAAACAGCUUGAAAGCAAUUUAGUGUGAAUGCCAAAGAUGCUACAAAUUAUUUUGAUGUCUUCUUGGCAUGUAAAAGAUUUCCCGCCAUUGUUUUGGAUAGUGUUUUUUUCCAGUGGAACUGCAUGAUGAGCCUGACAUGAAAGGCCUUUUAGCAGCUACAAGUCUGGAAGGAUGUCUUCCAAAUGCUAUGGGUGUGAACUGUGUUGAUCCAGAUAUUCUUCAUGAGCAGUGGGCUUCUCCACACACCCUUUCAAAUGUGAACUCUACCAUGCCAAAAGAAUUAAGAAGUGAAAGUUCAUACAUAAUAAGUGAAUUUAGGGAACAAAAUAUAUAUGCAUCAAAAGAAUUGAAUUUUUCCCAGUUUGCCCUUAUAUUCUCCAGACGUGACUUUGGAAACUGAAGAAAAACUAGGUCAUAAAAUUCGCACAGAAGAAUCUGCUACCAAAGUGGAGCUUGAAUUGCAAGAAAAUAAACCUAUCAGUUGCCUACCUUGGUUAAAUACUAGGCAACACUGUCAGCUGGAAAACUGUGGUUUUCACAUGAUUGGUCUGUUGUGUGAAAACAUAAAGUUCUUUUAUGUUCUUAUAAUUAUAAUAGGACAUGGGUUCACAUUCUUGUCAUGUUCGUGCAGUCACGGUAGUUUCCGCAACCUUUUCCUCAAACUUAUGCUGAUUUGCAGAAUGCACAUUUUGGAAUAGAAGAUGGACAGUAUUUGAUUUCUAUUGGGAAAGCAACAUCUUCCAGGGCAGUCAGCCAGUUAUUCGUGGGCAUUUACUGAAGUGAUUCUGGGUUAUGAGAUCGUAAACAACGAAUCGAAGCAUGCGGUUGAUGACAUUAAUACUGGAGGAAAGAAAACAAUUUAUUUGCACCUUUAAGAAAUAUUUUUGUGGCACUCGUUUUACUCGUCUGCCUUUUCUUAAAAGACUCAAAGAGAAGCACAAAUUGGGAGAUGCCUGCGUUAGUGGUAAGGCGAGUAGGUUUGAUACUGUUUUUUUUUUUUUAUCUGUUUUGAUCAAGAGAUACCAGUUGUCCUCAUAUUUUUUCAUCCAAGAGUGUUAGCUUGAGCAAGGGUAAGAUAUUUGUAAUGAGUCCCAUUACUGUGUAUUUCAUCUUCUUUCGGCCUACUGAUUCUAUGAAAAAAGACUUUGCCCAAGGCAUUUUUUUUAAUAUUUCCGACGAGGACGCCGUUGCUCAAUCCUGUAGACUAAUUUACUUAAAGUUACUCGAGCAUUUUUUAAGAACUUAGUUUCCAUGGAAAAAAGCAUUUAUGAGCUUUUGGAUGGUGUUUUUCUUUCUUUAGUUUUUUGUUUUUUUUACUUCCGCGUUUGAAACCUUUUAUGGAAGUUGUUCUUUCCAGAAACUAGCCUUGGAGGUAUUUUUAUGACUCUGCUAGCUCUUCUACAGAAUAAUUGAAAGUGAAUAUGCUUGGGGAUAUAUUCACUAUUUAAGUAAGAACAACGCUAGGGAUAAAAAAAACAUGCAAGAAAAAACUUCAAGAAUACACCUGAGCUAAUCCAACGGUUCAUGUGUUCUUGGAGUUUUUUCUAGUCGUAUCUCUUAAUGUUUAGUAUUCCUCCCGAGUAACUUGCAAUAAUGAACAUGGCCAGCACAAAUGAUUUACGUAGUUAAUUAGUGCUAGAAACUACGAACACAAAUGAGGUAUACUGUUGUAAAUAACUCAAAUUUGACUUAGAUCUAACCCUUGCUUUAAUUAUCAACUUCUCAAACAAGCCUAUUUAUGUUGUUCUUAUCUUAAAUCAGAUAUUAUAUGCUUGGCAAAACGAAGCUUCUAUAAAAACUAGUUUCUUAACUGAUUUUGUAUAAACACAGCUUGUGACGUGCCACUAUGCGUUACUCCAGUCUGUCUAGGACUGUUUCCAAAAAGAUACUGAAAUCACAUCAAUAUUUGUGGUUUAUCGAUUUCUUGAGCUGUUUAGUUCCUGCAGAUGCUCAUUUGCCAUCAGCGUUAACAGUUUUCUGAAAAAGCAAGUUUGAAUUCUAAAGUGUGUUCAAAACUACUUUGUGAAUGUCGUUUUGACAAUGUGGUACAUAUUUGCCUUUUCUUUUUUGCUAGGAGGGGUCUCUUUCAGCUUUGCUUGCAUCGACUCUUUUGGCUCAUUUCCGCUACGUACGAUGUUCUGGAUUGCUAGGCUACACGCCAUGGCAAUAACUAGUUUCAAGGACAGUGGAAAUGUCCCAGACAUUUAAAAUGAAACAAGGUUCAAGGUUAACGCAGAGUGCAAAAGACCAGGAAUUUGUCUGUCGGCUGAUUUCUUUGAGCUUUGUUUGGUCUCCGGCUUCAAAUAACUACAAUAGGGCUCCAUGGUGAAAUGGGAGUCCCGGGUUGAGAGGAUGGGAAAGCACGUUUUUAUGUAUGGAAAUAGUCCAUGAAAAGGUGUCCAGGUAAAUAACGGGAGGAAACGUAGUCCAGUAUUUGCAUAUUCAUAUCAGAAUUCAACUUUCCCCUUCUAAAGGCAAUCGGGCUGGUAAAACUUUUUACAUCUGUAGAGAAAUUAAGUUGCAGAGUUGCCAAUGAGGCGGACAAUACAAAGAAGCCUUUCUACUGCUUAAAAGGCUGUUGAGUUGGUGACGAUACGAUGGGGUUCUUUUCCUCUCUUUUUUCUUAUUCGUGCAGUGGGUACCUUACUUUGUGAGAGUUGAAUCGUAUGAAUUAUGACUACCGUGAGGAAAAGGUUUCUCUGGGUGCAAAAGAAGUGUAUUAGAACACCAAUUAUACCGAUCUCACUUUGCUCAGAAACAUUUAUUUGUUUCGUAGUUCAAGUUGGUGAGAUGAUUUCAAUGAUGAGGCAAAUAUCAAUACGCUGCCAGAUUUAUGAUCUGUUUGGGCACGUUGUAUUUAUAAACAUUUAUUUAUAACUCAUCUCAAGCUUGCGCGCUCAGCAGAGGAUAUAUUUC
This is a long non-coding RNA of Populus trichocarpa (black cottonwood), 4621 nucleotides long. RefSeq lists it as uncharacterized. NCBI's taxonomy places the organism in Eukaryota, Viridiplantae, Streptophyta, Magnoliopsida, Malpighiales, Salicaceae. The record is from RefSeq and is a predicted model, not a curated record. The transcript has 6 exons.